CGGGUGAGUAAUGUCUGGGAAACUGCCUGAUAGAGGGGGAUAACUACUGGAAACGGUAGCUAAUACCGCAUAAUGUCGCAAGACCAAAGUGGGGGACCUUCGGGCCUCUUGCCAUCGGAUGUGCCCAGAUGGGAUUAGCUAGUAGGUGGGGUAACGGCUCACCUAGGCGACGAUCCCUAGCUGGUCUGAGAGGAUGACCAGCCACACUGGAACUGAGACACGGUCCAG
RNAcentral lists this ribosomal RNA (228 nucleotides) under uncultured bacterium. Its description in RNAcentral is "partial 16S ribosomal RNA". It matches the Rfam family "Bacterial small subunit ribosomal RNA", at positions 103 to 334 of the family's 1533-position model. The record is from RNAcentral.